CUGAAGGUCUUUUCCUGAGGAACGAACUCAGAUAAAACAAAUAUAAGUUUCAGGCUUUAAGACCAGAAGGGUCAAUUCCUACAAGUUUAUAUUUUUUAGAAAAC
Sapajus apella (tufted capuchin) is the source of this 104-nucleotide long non-coding RNA. RefSeq lists it as uncharacterized. The record is from RefSeq and is a predicted model, not a curated record. The transcript has 3 exons. NCBI's taxonomy places the organism in Eukaryota, Metazoa, Chordata, Mammalia, Primates, Cebidae.